UUGCCUACGGGAGGCAGCAGUGGGGAAUAUUGCACAAUGGGGGAAACCCUGAUGCAGCGACGCCGCGUGAGUGAAGAAGUAAUUCGUUACGUAAAGCUCUAUCAGCAGGGAAGAAAAUGACGGUACCUGAGUAAGAAGCCCCGGCUAACUACGUGCCAGCAGCCGCGGUAAUACGUAGGGGGCAAGCGUUAUCCGGAUUUACUGGGUGUAAAGGGAGCGUAGACGGCUGCGCAAGUCAGAAGUGAAAGCCCGGGGCUCAACCGCGGGACUGCUUUUGAAACUGUAUAGCUAGAGUG
This 296-nucleotide ribosomal RNA is filed under the name uncultured bacterium. RNAcentral's name for it is "partial 16S ribosomal RNA". It matches the Rfam family "Bacterial small subunit ribosomal RNA", at positions 335 to 648 of the family's 1533-position model. The record is from RNAcentral.